RNAcentral lists this ribosomal RNA (254 nucleotides) under uncultured bacterium. RNAcentral describes it as "partial 16S ribosomal RNA". It matches the Rfam family "Bacterial small subunit ribosomal RNA", at positions 524 to 776 of the family's 1533-position model. The record is from RNAcentral.
UACGGGGGGAGCAAGCGUUGUUCGGAUUUACUGGGCGUAAAGGGCGCGUAGGCGGUCAGCACAAGUCAGUUGUGAAAUCUCCGGGCUUAACUCGGAAAGGUCAACUGAUACUGUGCGACUAGAGUGCAGAAGGGGCAACUGGAAUUCUCGGUGUAGCGGUGAAAUGCGUAGAUAUCGAGAGGAACACCUGCGGCGAAGGCGACUACCUGGCCUGUUCUUGACGCUGAGGCGCGAAAGCUAGGGGAGCAAACGGG